This 30-nucleotide non-coding RNA is filed under the name Mus musculus (house mouse). Lineage: Eukaryota; Metazoa; Chordata; Mammalia; Rodentia; Muridae. The record is from RNAcentral.
UGGGUUGUCUACUCCUUUGGCUCUAGAUCU